UGCAAAUGAUGUUUCUCACGAUGGUCUUCAGACUUCCAAUGGUGAUACUGCCUCAUGGCAUUAGCUGAUGCAGUAAA
Small nucleolar RNA from Asterias rubens (European starfish), 77 nucleotides. RefSeq annotates it as small nucleolar RNA SNORD35. The record is from RefSeq and is a predicted model, not a curated record. The transcript has a single exon. Lineage: Eukaryota; Metazoa; Echinodermata; Asteroidea; Forcipulatida; Asteriidae.